Pongo abelii (Sumatran orangutan) is the source of this 151-nucleotide small nucleolar RNA. Lineage: Eukaryota; Metazoa; Chordata; Mammalia; Primates; Hominidae. The record is from Ensembl.
UGCACCCGUUUGAGGAAUAAAGGAAUUAAAACUCCCAAAAGAGGACAAAUAUUAACAAAAAUGUAUGGACAGAUGCAAAAAAACAAAUCCUCAUUUGCAACCCAGAACUAAUUGUUUAGUGUGAUUUUUGAUACACAUAAGAAGGAGUAUU